UACGUAGGGUGCGAGCGUUGUCCGGAAUUAUUGGGCGUAAAGCGCUCGUAGGCGGUGUGUCGCGUCGGCCGUGAAAACCUGCAGCUUAACUGUGGGCUUGCGGUCGAUACGGGCAUCACUGGAGUUCGGCAGGGGAGACUGGAAUUCCUGGUGUAGCGGUGAAAUGCGCAGAUAUCAGGAGGAACACCGGUGGCGAAGGCGGGUCUCUGGGCCGAUACUGACGCUGAGGAGCGAAAGCGUGGGGAGCGAACAGG
This 254-nucleotide ribosomal RNA is filed under the name uncultured bacterium. RNAcentral's name for it is "partial 16S ribosomal RNA". It matches the Rfam family "Bacterial small subunit ribosomal RNA", at positions 524 to 776 of the family's 1533-position model. The record is from RNAcentral.